UACAGAGGGUGCGAGCGUUGUCCGGAAUCACUGGGCGUAAAGGGCGCGUAGGUGGUGGCUUAAGCGUGCGGUGAAAGCUCGGAGCUCAACUCCGAGUCGGCCGUGCGAACUGGGCUCACUGGAGCAUAGUAGAGGCAGGUGGAAUUCCGGGUGUAGCGGUGGAAUGCGUAGAGAUCCGGAAGAACACCGGUGGCGAAGGCGGCUCUCUGGGACGGUACUGACGCUGAGACGCGAAAGCGUGGGGAGCGAACAGG
Molecule: ribosomal RNA, 254 nt
Filed under: uncultured bacterium
Lineage: Bacteria
Description: partial 16S ribosomal RNA
Rfam family: Bacterial small subunit ribosomal RNA
Source: RNAcentral